CAUCAACACUUCGAGUACCAGAAAUUACAAAGACAGGUAAGUAUUUGGGCAUACCUUCAAACUGGGGGCAAUCCAAGAAAGACAUGUUCGCAUGGAUCCUAGCUCUGGUCAACUCCAAACUGGAUAGCUGGAAGGAAAAACCGUUAUCAAAAGCAGGGAAGGAAAUACUUCUGAAAGUAGUAAUUCAAGCGAUCCCACAAUAUGCCAUGUCGAUCUUUAAAAUUCCUACUUCGAUUUGUAAAGCAAUCGAGAAAAAAGUUGCAGCGUUUUGGUGGAAAAGCAAUGAAAAAAAGGCUGGCAUUCACUAGAAGAAGUGAGACUUGCUAAAAACCAGAAAGAGUGAAGGGGGCAUGGGUUUCAAGGAUCUACAGACUUUCAAUACAGCAAUGCUAGCAAAACAGAUGUGGCGAAUAAUCACUAAUCCAGACCUACUGGUAACUCAAUUAUUGAAAGGCCUUUACUACUCACAUGGAGAUUUUUGGCAUGCUGGCAAAGGCUCACGGCCCUCGUGGGGAUGGCAGAGCCUCAUCAAGGCAAGGGAUUCAGUUGCUCCUCAGGUGAUGAACCGGAUAAGAAAUGGAAAAAAAACAUCAAUCAGAACAGAGAGGUGGUUAAAAAGCGGCACAAUAGGAGGACCAGCAUCAAACCAUGAACCAGACAAAGUAUCAAAUAUAAUCAAUCCAGACACAGGAACAUGGAAUGAGCCUCUUCUACAUUCAAUGUUUGACGACCGAACGGUAUGAGAAAUUCUAGCCACACCCAUUGGCUUACCUGAUGAAGAGGAUUAACUGGUAUGGAUGCACACAAAAUCAGGUAAUUAUUCAGUAAAAAGCGGUUAUUUCACAUUCCGAAAUGUCUCCGUCUCAUCACAGAACACACAAGCCACAUCAUCUUACACAGCCAAUCCCGAUCUCUGGAAAUUUAUUUGGCACUCCACAACCCCACCCAAAAUAAAAAAAAUUCCUCUGGAAUGCAUGCAACAACGCCCUUGCAACUAUGGAAAAUCUACACCACCGAAGGAUCGUACCUUCCCCGA
RNAcentral lists this long non-coding RNA (1036 nucleotides) under Eucalyptus grandis. RNAcentral's name for it is "long non-coding RNA (EGRA_LNC003856)". The record is from RNAcentral. Lineage: Eukaryota; Viridiplantae; Streptophyta; Magnoliopsida; Myrtales; Myrtaceae.